This is a long non-coding RNA of Brassica oleracea var. oleracea, 1530 nucleotides long. RefSeq lists it as uncharacterized. The transcript has 6 exons. NCBI's taxonomy places the organism in Eukaryota, Viridiplantae, Streptophyta, Magnoliopsida, Brassicales, Brassicaceae. The record is from RefSeq and is a predicted model, not a curated record.
AAAAAGGGAAGCUAGAAAACAUUUUGUUCAAAGUAGUAAUGAUAAGUUUACUCCACUACCUCUGACUUCCAUUCAUCCCUCAUCAUCAUUACACCCUCACUUCUUUCUUUUUCUCUGUACCUCCACUUUUAUUCCCAACAUCAUGAUGAUAGUGAUGAUGACGAUUCCUCAUCUUCAUCAUCAUCUUCAUCGUCUUCUUCUACUUCUUUUUUCUCUUCAACUCCCAAGUUCCAGUACCCAAGAGGAAAACAUAAUCACAGAAAUCCAAGAUCAAGAAUCCCAAGAAAAAGAAUAAGUUGUCGAUUAUCAUCGUCAUCAAGAUUAGGGUUUACCUAAUCUCUCUACUUUUUCUUUUAGAUCGAUUCUUGACCAUCAUCAUCUCAUAUGUUUGUAUCAUCAUCCACGUGUGCGUACGAGAUCCGAAAGGGGAAUCAAGCGUCUCGGUCCGAUCCUUCGCUUCUUCAAAGCGAUCUUCACUCGAAAAUCAUUAAAAUCAAAACAGGCGAUUUCCGGCGGUCUGACCCUAUCGAGUCUCUCUUCCUUCUUCUCCCACUCGCCGUCCUCUCCGAAUCACCAUCAUGACCAUCACCACCGUCCUCCCAUCCGUCAGCCAUAUCCACGUUGUCUCUGUCUACCUCGUCACCACUGUUCCUCUCCUUGUCUUCUCCAGUCGAGGUGAGUCGGAGAUGAGCAGCGGCGAUGAGGAGACAGAGCUUAACUUCGACUUCCAUGGAGUUCUGCCGUGUGUUCGAGCUUUGAGCUCGAGGGAUGAGAUGGAGUCUAGUGAGAAGAGAAGGGAGGAGAUGGAUUUGGCUCAGAGACGAAGGAGGAGAUGGAGUUGGAUUCAAAGAUAAGUCUCUUACCCUUUUUCUCAGAUUCAGUUUUAUUUCUGAUCUAAUGUAUUGAUUAUGGAGGAAACUGACAGUUUCAAAAACUGUAACCACAGUUUUAGGUACGUUCAGGACUGGCAUUGAGAAUAACUGCCACGAACCAGCUGAGGACUGAGGACUUAGUUGAAACUUUGAGAUGCAUUAAUAGGGAUGUGCUUCAUUCUCUUGAUCACAAGCAUAGGGGAUGUGCUUUAUUUUAAGCUGCUCAAAGGUAAAAGGAUCUGUAUAUUAUGGUCACAUGACUGAAAUACUGGUGCGAAGAGCUUCUUUUCCUGAUGAAUUCACACGGUUAACAUCCAUCAUGUGGAUAAACGAGAUUGUCUUAAAGCAUGCUUAUUAUAAGGAUCAAACAUGCAUGUCACAAGCUACAGAUUCAGCGAUGACCACUUUGGUGAUUGUGCAACCACUUUUUUGGCUAGAAUUAGAAGAUAGACGAAGUUUUUUAUAAUUAUCAUGAGAGAGAAUAAGAUGUUUGUAAUAGGCAUUUGUAUUGUACUUUUGUACCAGACUACAUUGUAUUGUUCUCUUUGUACCAAACUGAUGUAUUAUGUAAUAACUUACUUGGAGUAGAUUUCAAAAGACUAAUACUGGAAUAGACAUAUGUAUUGCACUUUUGUACCAAACUAUAUUUUAUUGUGCU